GAUGAAGAACGUAGCGAAAUGCGAUAAGUAGUGUGAAUUGCAGAAUUCAGUGAAUCAUCGAAUCUUUGAACGCACAUUGCGCCCCUUGGUAUCACGAGGGGCAUGCCUGUUCGAGCGUCAUUUCACCACUCAAGCCUGGCUUGGUGUUGGGCGACGUCCCCUUUAGGGACGCGCCUCGAAACGCUCGGCGGCGUGGCACCGGCUUUAAGCGUAGCAGAAUCUUUCGCUUUGGAAGUCGGGGCCCCGUCUGCCGGAAGACCUACUCGCAAGGUUGACCUCGGAUCAGGCAGGGAUACCCGCUGAACUUAAGCAUAUCAAUAAGCGGAGGA
This 329-nucleotide unclassified non-coding RNA is filed under the name soil metagenome. RNAcentral's name for it is "partial contains 5.8S ribosomal RNA, internal transcribed spacer 2, and large subunit ribosomal RNA". The stretch from base 1 to 120 matches the Rfam family "5.8S ribosomal RNA", at positions 35 to 154 of the family's 154-position model. The record is from RNAcentral.